This 366-nucleotide ribosomal RNA is filed under the name uncultured eukaryote. RNAcentral describes it as "SSU rRNA". It matches the Rfam family "Eukaryotic small subunit ribosomal RNA", at positions 587 to 966 of the family's 1831-position model. The record is from RNAcentral.
AGCUCCAAUAGCGUAUAUUAAAGUUGUUGCAGUUAAAAAGCUCGUAGUUGGAUUUCUGGCAGGGUGACUCUGCCCUCAGCAGAGCGGCCGGAGUGGCCCUACCAUCCUUCUGUUAACCUUUUAGGCUUUUACCGUCUAUCUGGGGCUCAGAUAUUUUACCUUGAGAAAAUUAGAGUGUUUCAGGCAGGCUAGCGCCGGAAUACAUUAGCAUGGAAUAAUGGAAUAGGACUUUUACCUCUUCUGUUGGUCAAAGGGGUUCGAGUAAUGAUUAAUAGGGAUAGUUGGGGGCAUUAGUACUUAACUGUCAGAGGUGAAAUUCUCGGAUUUGUUAAAGACUAACUUAUGCGAAAGCAUUUGCCAAGGAUG